UCUUCCAGAUCGAGCGCAUUUACUACCCAGUUCUUGCGGUCAUUAGAGUUACUGGUAAGGGGACGGUCGCGGAAUCAAUGUUUUGUGUUGAUGCUCCACUCGUUUUGAAAAAGUAUGUGCUCAGUGUUACUGCUUCAGUCGGCGGGAUUACUGCACGAUGAAGUCCGGCUCCCGACUUUCCAAACAUUUUGUUUGCAAUCAAUAUUGGAACAAUGAAAUAAAAGAAUCGGAAAGAUUAAUACAGCGCGGAAACAGACCAUUCGCCCAUUCAGGCCAAUGGUGAUCACAGAACAAACCCGUGACUACAAUCACUGGAAGUUGACCCCAGACGUUGCUCUGAGAAAUCGCCGUGUAAUUUCUGUUACUGCGGGUCCAACAAUCUUCUAGGUCGUUGCUGCCUUUACUGCUUCUUUCAAGAGUCCUUCGGCAUCGAGGAGAAGACAUUCAUCGUCUGGAGUGAAUUUCGUGGCGAUUGUGAUCCUGAAUCGGGGGAAGUGUGGUCUCUCCAAAUGCAUCACCCGUUACCUGAUUGGAAUGUCUGCGGCGGAUCUAGUACUAGUCAUUAUCAAUGUAAUAUUGAAUCGAAUUAAUAACAUACAUUUCCCAGUUAAUCUCCAUAUUCAUCACUCCUGUGUGUGCAGUUAAAGCUGUUUUGUCUCUGGCAGCUUUGAACUGUUCGGUCUGGUU
Long non-coding RNA from Hypanus sabinus (Atlantic stingray), 687 nucleotides. RefSeq lists it as uncharacterized. The transcript is spliced from 3 exons. Lineage: Eukaryota; Metazoa; Chordata; Chondrichthyes; Myliobatiformes; Dasyatidae. The record is from RefSeq and is a predicted model, not a curated record.